Molecule: ribosomal RNA, 547 nt
Filed under: uncultured Bacteroidota bacterium
Lineage: Bacteria; Pseudomonadati; Bacteroidota
Description: bacterial SSU rRNA
Rfam family: Bacterial small subunit ribosomal RNA
Source: RNAcentral
UCUAGCUUGCUAGAUGCUGACGAGUGGCGCACGGGUGCGUAACGCGUAUACAAUCUACCUUUAACUGAGGGAUAGCCCAGAGAAAUUUGGAUUAAUACCUCAUAGUAUUAUAAUUAGGCAUCUUUUUAUAAUUAAAACUUCGGUGGUUAAAGAUGAGUAUGCGUACUAUUAGCUAGUUGGUAAGGUAAAAGCUUACCAAGGCAACGAUAGUUAGGGGGCCUGAAAGGGUGAUCCCCCACACUGGUACUGAGACACGGACCAGACUCCUACGGGAGGCAGCAGUGAGGAAUAUUGCACAAUGGAGGAAACUCUGAUGCAGCCAUGCCGCGCGCAGGAAGAAUGCCCUAUGGGUUGUAAACUGCUUUUAUACAAGAAGAAACCUCGGUACGUGUACCGACUUGACGGUAUUGUAUGAAUAAGCACCGGCUAACUCCGUGCCAGCAGCCGCGGUAAUACGGAGGGUGCAAGCGUUAUCCGGAUUUAUUAGGUUUAAAGGGUCCGCAGGCGGAAUAUUAAGUCAGUGGUGAAAGCCUACAGCUCAACUGUA